CAAAAAUGUUUUAAGUGUUCAAGCUGUUAAAACGGUGCACUCAGGUUUAACAUCUUAAUUUCUUACAGAAAACUAGAACCAUAAUACAAGGUCACCUUGAAAGUGAAAGCUAAUAGCUUCAGCAAAACUGCCUGCUGGAAACCUUCAUUUAUCAAAGCUGUUGGAUAGUUUCAGGAUAAAGUAAUAAAAACUGAGACAAACUGGUUCUCAAAAUCCAUUUAUUAAAUCUUGUGCAGGUCUUGAUCUUGUACAGUUCGAAGCAGCAGAACUUCUGGAACAUGAGACCUGCAACACAAACAGUUAGUCAGCUGGCAGCAGAUCCACAGAGCAGAUGCUGAGAACUCAGAGCCUCACCUCAAACAUGUUCAGUAGGCUUUGACUGGAACUUGGUCACCCUUUGGAGGAAGGUAGCCCUGUGGAGGCAGGUAGCCUGGGUAGCUGAACACUGGACUGUACAGAGAGUCAGUGGGGACGUAGCGGGUCUGAGAGAAAUGGGCUCUUCCUCUCCUGUAGCGGGACCGAGAGUGGAAGUUGUAGACUGGAUCCAGAUCGGACACGUCAGUGAAGAAGGGCCCAUCAGGGGUCUGGUCAGAGGUUAUUAUCCGGGACCCUGGGUCAGCGGACCAACAAGUCCUGACCCGACCGUCCCCACUACAACCACCAAACCCGACCAGCAGCUCAAGUAUGUCUAUGGCGGCUAUCCAGGCGUCUAUGGCGGUUAUCCAGGCGUCUACAGCUACCAGAGCACUGACCAGACCUCUGACCAGACCCCUGAUGGGCCCUUCUUCACUGAUGUGUCCGAUCUGGAUCCAGUCUACAACUUCCACUCUCGGUCCCGCUACAGGAGAGGAAGAGCCCAUUUCUCUCAGACCCGCUACGUCCCCACUGACUCUCUGUACAGUCCAGUGUUCAGCUACCCAGGCUACCUGCCUCCACAGGGCUACCUUCCUCCAAAGGGUGACCAAGUUCAAGUCAAAGCCUACUGAACAUGUUGGAGGUGGGGCUCUGAGCUCAUGAAUUGUUCUAUGGAUUUGCUGCCACCUGACUGUUGCAGGUCUCCAUGUUCUAGAAGUUCUACUGCUGCUUCUAACUGUACAAGAUUUAAUAAAUGAUUUUCAGAACUAGCCUUUGUCUCAGUCUUCAUCACUUGAUCCUGAACAUGUCUGACAGCUGUGCUAAAUGAAGGCUUCUUACAGGCAGCAUUGCAUGACUAUUAGCUUUAGUCUUCAAGCAUUUAAAAGCUGCAUCUUGUCUCUGAAGGUCCCGGUAGUGAUUUAGGGAGAAGAACUGGAUCUAAACAUCUCUGUUGGGCCUGCUUCACAUUACAGCCUGCGUGUUUGAGAUUAUUUCUGCUGCUUUUUUUUUUUUUUUUUUUUUUAAAAACCUGAGGUCAAAGUUUUUCCCCAGCUUGUAUGCUUUGAAACCUGUUUGCUUAUGUAAUGUACUUCGAACAUGCCAUCAGCACUUGGUAAGGUGAAGGCCAUUCCAAAUUUGACUGGAAAGAACCCAAACUUCACUGACGCAGCCAUCUGCCUCAACUGUUAUG
Amphiprion ocellaris (clown anemonefish) is the source of this 1546-nucleotide long non-coding RNA. The record is from Ensembl. NCBI's taxonomy places the organism in Eukaryota, Metazoa, Chordata, Actinopteri, Pomacentridae.